This 538-nucleotide long non-coding RNA is filed under the name Homo sapiens (human). RNAcentral's name for it is "HSALNT0290139". The record is from RNAcentral. Lineage: Eukaryota; Metazoa; Chordata; Mammalia; Primates; Hominidae.
AUGCAUUUCUAAAGGAAGCAGAGAAGUAAGAGCUUGGUAUUUUUCAAAUGGAACUCAAAGGUCUUUGCAGCCUGGGCUCGGCACUGGGCUGAGAGCCGUCAGAGGAGCUGCUGCAGGGGUGGCUGCCAUUCCUCAACCCGAUUCUAUCGUUAUUAUUUACAUUCUAUGUCUUCUCUUUCAAGAUUAUUUUUUUGACAUUUGCCUUCUGGCAGAGCUGGGACCAAUGAGUGGGAGGUGGAUUUUGGCGGAACACAGGAGGAAUUCUCUUAGUCAGAGCCAUCCAAAAAUGGAAAGACCUGACUCAGAAGACAGCGUGUCCCCUGCCUGCAUAAGGUCCUGGUGAGGUCCUGUCAAGGGUGCUCUGCCCUGUGCUUUGACAGGUGUGUGCGGAGAUGAAAGUUUCAGGAAUCUGUCCCAGAUUUCUCCCUGGGCUGAGUUCUUGCCUUGGUCACCUGCCCAGGACUGCAGUUUCUCUGAUACCACCUCAGGGGAGGGGCAGGACCUAGACCCUCAGAAUCUGGCCUUGAAGCCUGGAUAC